AAGCGCCUUGAAUAUAUUAGCAUGGAAUAAUACUAUAGGAUCUUGGUUCUAUUUUGUUGGUUUCUAGAACUAAGGUAAUGAUUAAUAGGGACAAUUGGGGGCAUUCGUAUCGGCGCGUCAGAGGUGGAAUUCUUGGAUUGCGUUGCGACGAACUACUGCGAAAGCAUUUGCCAAGGAUGUUUUCAUUGAUCAAGAACGAAAGUAAGGGGAUCGAAGACGAUUAGAUACCGUCGUAGUCUUUACCAUAAACUAUGCCAACUAGAGAUGGGACAUCGUCUACUUACGACUUGUUCCGCACCUUAUGAGAUAUCAAAGUCUUUGGGUUCCGGGGGGAGUAUGGUCGCAAGUCUGAAACUUAAAGGAAUUGACGGAAGGGCACCACCAGGAGUGGAGCCUGCGGCUUAAUUUGACUCAACACGGGGAAACUCACCAGGUCCAGACAUAAUAAGGAUUGACAGAUUGAUAGCUCUUUCUUGAUUUUAUGGGUGGUGGUGCAUGGCCGUUCUUAGUUCGUGGAGUGAUUUGUCUGCUUAAUUGCGUUAACGAACGAGACCUUAACCUGCUAAAUAGGAGCGCAUAUCUUCGGAUAAGCGCCUUUCUUCUUAGAGGGACCUUAUGCGUUUCAGCAUGAGGAAGUUUGAGGCUAAAACAGGUCUGUGAUGCCCUUCGAUGUUCUGGGCUGCACGCGCGCUACACUGAUGCGUUCAACGAGUGUACAACCUUGCCCGAUAGGGUUGGGUAACCUUUUGAACACGCAUCGUGAUGGGGAUAGAUUAUUGCAAUUAUUAAUCUUCAACGAGGAAUUCCUAGUAAUGAUGGAUCAUCAGUUCAUCGUGAUUACGUCCCUGCCCUUUGUACACACCGCCCGUCGCUCCUACCGAUUGAGCAAUCCGGUGAAUAUUUCGGACCGGCACUCUGCGGGGCAACUCGUUUGAGAACUGGAAAGUCAAGUUAACCUUAUCGCUUAGAGGAAGGAGAAGUCGUAACAAGGUUUCCGUAG
RNAcentral lists this ribosomal RNA (1000 nucleotides) under Amoebophrya sp. RNAcentral describes it as "SSU rRNA". It matches the Rfam family "Eukaryotic small subunit ribosomal RNA", at positions 788 to 1808 of the family's 1831-position model. Lineage: Eukaryota; Dinophyceae; Syndiniales; Amoebophryaceae. The record is from RNAcentral.